This 1007-nucleotide ribosomal RNA is filed under the name Lophiostoma compressum. RNAcentral describes it as "SSU rRNA". It matches the Rfam family "Eukaryotic small subunit ribosomal RNA", at positions 84 to 1100 of the family's 1831-position model. The record is from RNAcentral. Lineage: Eukaryota; Fungi; Ascomycota; Dothideomycetes; Pleosporales; Lophiostomataceae.
AAACUGCGAAUGGCUCAUUAAAUCAGUUAUCGUUUAUUUGAUAGUACCUUACUACUUGGAUAACCGUGGUAAUUCUAGAGCUAAUACAUGCUGAAAACCCUGACUUCGGAAAGGGUGUAUUUAUUAGAUAAAAAACCAAUGCCCUUUGGGCUCUUUGGUGAUUCAUGAUAACUUAACGGAUCGCAUGGCCUUGCGCCGGCGACGGUUCAUUCAAAUUUCUGCCCUAUCAACUUUCGAUGGUAAGGUAUUGGCUUACCAUGGUUUCAACGGGUAACGGGGAAUUAGGGUUCGAUUCCGGAGAGGGAGCCUGAGAAACGGCUACCACAUCCAAGGAAGGCAGCAGGCGCGCAAAUUACCCAAUCCCGACACGGGGAGGUAGUGACAAUAAAUACUGAUACAGGGCUCUUUUGGGUCUUGUAAUCGGAAUGAGUACAAUUUAAACCUCUUAACGAGGAACAAUUGGAGGGCAAGUCUGGUGCCAGCAGCCGCGGUAAUUCCAGCUCCAAUAGCGUAUAUUAAAGUUGUUGCAGUUAAAAAGCUCGUAGUUGAAUCUUGGGCCUGGCUGGCCGGUCCGCCUCACCGCGUGUACUGGUCUGGCCGGGCCUUUCCUUCUGGAGAACCUCAUGCCCUUCAGUGGGUGUGUUGGGGAACCAGGACUUUUACUUUGAAAAAAUUAGAGUGUUCAAAGCAGGCCUUUGCUCGAAUACGUUAGCAUGGAAUAAUAGAAUAGGACGUGCGGUCCUAUUUUGUUGGUUUCUAGGACCGCCGUAAUGAUUAAUAGGGAUAGUCGGGGGCAUCAGUAUUCAAUUGUCAGAGGUGAAAUUCUUGGAUUUAUUGAAGACUAACUACUGCGAAAGCAUUUGCCAAGGAUGUUUUCAUUAAUCAGUGAACGAAAGUUAGGGGAUCGAAGACGAUCAGAUACCGUCGUAGUCUUAACCGUAAACUAUGCCGACUAGGGAUCGGGCGAUGUUUCUAUCUUGACUCGCUCGGCACCUUACGAGAAAUCA